Molecule: ribosomal RNA, 497 nt
Filed under: uncultured bacterium
Lineage: Bacteria
Description: partial 16S ribosomal RNA
Rfam family: Bacterial small subunit ribosomal RNA
Source: RNAcentral
GAUGAACGCUGGCGGCGUGCCUAAUACAUGCAAGUCGAGCGAACAGACGAGGAGCUUGCUCCUCUGACGUUAGCGGCGGACGGGUGAGUAACACGUGGAUAACCUACCUAUAAGACUGGGAUAACUUCGGGAAACCGGAGCUAAUACCGGAUAAUAUAUUGAACCGCAUGGUUCAAUAGUGAAAGACGGUUUUGCUGUCACUUAUAGAUGGAUCCGCGCCGCAUUAGCUAGUUGGUAAGGUAACGGCUUACCAAGGCGACGAUGCGUAGACGACCUGAGAGGGUGAUCGGCCACACUGGAACUGAGACACGGUCCAGACUCCUACGGGAGGCAGCAGUAGGGAACCUUCCGCAAUGGGCGAAAGCCUGACGGAGCAACGCCGCGUGAGUGAUGAAGGUCUUCGGAUCGUAAAACUCUGUUAUUAGGGAAGAACAAAUGUGUAAGUAACUAUGCACGUCUUGACGGUACCUAAUCAGAAAGCCACGGCUAACUACGUG